Molecule: ribosomal RNA, 2035 nt
Filed under: Acinetobacter baumannii
Lineage: Bacteria; Pseudomonadati; Pseudomonadota; Gammaproteobacteria; Moraxellales; Moraxellaceae
Description: partial 23S ribosomal RNA
Source: RNAcentral
CUGUUUCGGCUAGGGGGUCAUCCCGACUUACCAAACCGAUGCAAACUCCGAAUACCUAUGAGUACUAUCCGGGAGACAGACUGCGGGUGCUAACGUCCGUAGUCAAGAGGAAAACAAUCCAGACCGCCAGCUAAGGCCCCAAAAUCAUAGUUAAGUGGGAAACGAUGUGGGAAGGCAUAGACAGCUAGGAGGUUGGCUUAGAAGCAGCCACCCUUUAAAGAAAGCGUAAUAGCUCACUAGUCGAGUCGGCCUGCGCGGAAGAUGUAACGGGGCUAAAACUAUGUGCCGAAGCUGCGGAUUUGACAUUAGUCAAGUGGUAGGGGAGCGUUCUGUAAGCCGAUGAAGGUGURUUGAGAAGYAUGCUGGAGGUAUCAGAAGUGCGAAUGCUGACGUGAGUAACGACAAAACGGGUGAAAAACCCGUUCGCCGAAAGACCAAGGGUUCCAGUCCAACGUUAAUCGGGGCUGGGUGAGUCGACCCCUAAGGCGAGGCCGAAAGGCGUAGUCGAUGGGAAAAUGGUUAAUAUUCCAUUACUUCUGUGUAAUGCGAUGAGAGGACGGAGAAGGCUAAAUCAGCCUGGCGUUGGUUGUCCAGGUGAAAGGAUGUAGGCAUGUAUCUUAGGCAAAUCCGGGGUACUCUAUGCUGAGAUCUGAUAGCAAGCUGUACUUGUACAGCGAAGUGGUUGAUGCCAUGCUUCCAGGAAAAGUCUCUAAGCUUCAGUUACACAGGAAUCGUACCCGAAACCGACACAGGUGGUCAGGUCGAGUAGACCAAGGCGCUUGAGAGAACUCUGCUGAAGGAACUAGGCAAAAUGGUACCGUAACUUCGGGAGAAGGUACGCUGUUGUUGGUGAUGGAACUCGCUUCCUGAGCUGACGACAGCCGCAGAAACCAGGCCGCUGCAACUGUUUAUUAAAAACAUAGCACUCUGCAAACACGAAAGUGGACGUAUAGGGUGUGAUGCCUGCCCGGUGCUGGAAGGUUAAUUGAUGGGGUUAGCGUAAGCGAAGCUCUUGAUCGAAGCCCCAGUAAACGGCGGCCGUAACUAUAACGGUCCUAAGGUAGCGAAAUUCCUUGUCGGGUAAGUUCCGACCUGCACGAAUGGCAUAAUGAUGGCGGCGCUGUCUCCAGCAGAGGCUCAGUGAAAUCGAAAUCGCUGUGAAGAUGCAGUGUACCCGCGGCUAGACGGAAAGACCCCGUGAACCUUUACUGCAGCUUGACACUGAACUUUGACCUUACUUGUGUAGGAUAGGUGGGAGGCUUUGAAGCUGGAACGCUAGUUCCAGUGGAGCCGUCCUUGAAAUACCACCCUGGUAAUGUUGAGGUUCUAACUCUGUCCCGUGAUCCGGGACGAGGACCGUGUCUGGUGGGUAGUUUGACUGGGGCGGUCUCCUCCUAAAGAGUAACGGAGGAGUACGAAGGUGCGCUCAGCGUGGUCGGAAAUCACGCGUAGAGUAUAAAGGCAAAAGCGCGCUUAACUGCGAGACCCACAAGUCGAGCAGGUACGAAAGUAGGUCUUAGUGAUCCGGUGGUUCUGUAUGGAAGGGCCAUCGCUCAACGGAUAAAAGGUACUCUGGGGAUAACAGGCUGAUACCGCCCAAGAGUUCAUAUCGACGGCGGUGUUUGGCACCUCGAUGUCGGCUCAUCUCAUCCUGGGGCUGAAGCAGGUCCCAAGGGUAUGGCUGUUCGCCAUUUAAAGAGGUACGCGAGCUGGGUUUAGAACGUCGUGAGACAGUUCGGUCCCUAUCUACCGUGGGCGCUGGAAAUUUGAGAGGAUCUGCUCCUAGUACGAGAGGACCAGAGUGGACGAACCUCUGGUGUACCGGUUGUGACGCCAGUCGCAUCGCCGGGUAGCUAUGUUCGGAAGGGAUAACCGCUGAAAGCAUCUAAGCGGGAAGCCUACCUCAAGAUAAGAUUUCCCUAGGACUUUAUGUCCUCUAAAGAGCCGUUCGAGACUAGGACGUUGAUAGGUUGGAUGUGGAAGCAUAGUGAUAUGUGAAGCUGACCAAUACUAAUUGCUCGUGAGGCUUGACUAU